Molecule: long non-coding RNA, 667 nt
Organism: Eriocheir sinensis (Chinese mitten crab)
Lineage: Eukaryota; Metazoa; Arthropoda; Malacostraca; Decapoda; Varunidae
Exons: 3
Source: RefSeq, a predicted model, not a curated record
AAUCACACUGUCCUGCCUGGGGGUUGGGAUGGCAUGUUCCUCCCUUCUCCCUUGUUGUUUACCUGCAACAAUAAACUAUCAAUCAAUCAAUCAAUCAAUCAAUCAUAAACAGUUUAUAGGAUACGUUGGUUAUGGCAUUAGGUCUUAAUUCUGUCCUGUGACAUCAAGAUCAAGGUCAAGAUCAACGGAAGAAAACAGAGCAACGCUGCGAAGUUUGCCACACCGCCCACGCCUCCACGCCCACACAGUGCCCCCACGCCCACACAGUGCCCCCACACCCAUCCAACUGUGGUGAGAGAAGUCCUUCGUCAGCACACUGUCAACAUACUGGCAGCACAUUAUCAGCAGACUGUCACCACGUCAUCAGCACACUGUCACCCUGUCAUCAGCACACUGUCAGCCCAUCAUCAGCACUGUCAGCACAUCGUCAGAACAUCAGCACACUGUCAGCCCAUCAUCAGCACACCAUAACCACAGUCAGCACACUGUCAGCAAGUCUUCACCCCCGUAACAGUCUGCCUGCCACCCCUGGUGCUGAUGCAGCAGCGAGGGUCUGAGGUGGGUGCCGUGCUGCGUCCUCACUGCUGCUGGCUUCUGUUGCAGUGGAGGCUGCAGGGCCGGGCAGUAGCCUGAGGGGCCAGGACCAGCAGGAGCAGCCUGCCACUGC